This 478-nucleotide ribosomal RNA is filed under the name uncultured bacterium. RNAcentral's name for it is "partial 16S ribosomal RNA". It matches the Rfam family "Bacterial small subunit ribosomal RNA", at positions 28 to 523 of the family's 1533-position model. The record is from RNAcentral.
GACGAACGCUGGCGGCAUGCCUAACACAUGCAAGUCGAGCGAGCAGAUCCCUUCGGGGUGAAGCUAGCGGCGGACGGGUGAGUAACACGUGGGCAACCUGCCUCAUAGAGGGGAAUAGCCUUCCGAAAGGAAGAUUAAUACCGCAUAAGAUUGUAGCUUCGCAUGAAGUAGCAAUUAAAGGAGCAAUCCACUAUGAGAUGGGCCCGCGGCGCAUUAGCUAGUUGGUGAGGUAACGGCUCACCAAGGCGACGAUGCGUAGCCGACCUGAGAGGGUGAUCGGCCACAUUGGGACUGAGACACGGCCCAGACUCCUACGGGAGGCAGCAGUGGGGAAUAUUGCACAAUGGGGGAAACCCUGAUGCAGCAAUGCCGCGUGAGUGAUGACGGCCUUCGGGUUGUAAAGCUCUGUCUUCGGGGACGAUAAUGACGGUACCCGAGGAGGAAGCCACGGCUAACUACGUGCCAGCCGCCGCUGUAA